CACCCCAAAAGCUCAGCACUAGAGCUGCUCCCUCUAGAAACCCCUUUCCUGCUACUGCUGGCAGGGUGACAAUGGCCUGUGAGUGACUGAGGAUGGCCUGCUGUCUCCACGGCCCCUCUUGGUCUCACCACUGUCCUCCACAGCCACUGUUUUCUUCACCUGCACUGGCAACACCAAGGACAGCACAGGAGAGCUGAGAGAGCCUCUGGCUGAGAGGUUCUCACUCUCUCUGCAUUAACUUCACCAUCGCAGUCAGGAACCGUGCUGGAUCACAGUGGUGUGAUGCUGUGGUCCAAGCAGGCAGGCAGCUUUUGUUCAAUUAUACGUGUGAAAACCAUAAGCGCCCUGACUCAUGGCUCAUACCUCUCUGUCCUCUGGGGGAGGAGGUGGAUGCCAGAGAGAGGGGCAUGCUAAGUGGAACUCUGAAAGACCUGAUGGAAGAGCUCAAAAUGGAAAUGCCUAAUCUUCAACUAAAAAUUCCCACAAACCGCGGUCCCCUCUCCCUGCAGGGCAGCAUUCAGUACCAGGCGGGAGUCAAUGGCAGCACAGUGGAACUAAAGCUCAGCUUCCAGGGAGAGGAAGUCAUCAACUUUGAGUGGACACAUCUGGGGCUGAAAGUUCAUUCUGCAAACAAAUCUGUGGAAGAGGAGUGGAAGGACAAAGUAGUGACUAAGUUACUCCAGAAAAUUCCUGGAGAAUUUGAAAUGUUGAUUGAUAAUAUUUCAGAAGUUCGGAAUAAAAUGCCUCAGACCACAGCAGCACUGACUAUGGCCCCGGGCAGAGUCCCAGUCCCAGUCCCAUCCAGCGCCACAGCCACCUUGACCGGCUCAUCCGCCUCACCUUUUAUCUGGAUCCUCACCUGUGCCAUCGUGUUUGGCACCAUGUUCAUGCCUGUCCUCUGCUAGUUUUGUGAGCCUCCAGUGAAAGAAUUUGUAGAGACGGUGGUGCUUUUCAACCUCUGUGCAUCCAGCGGGCUCUGUGUCCACCCCCACCACUUUAUCCACUAACCUGAUGGAAUUUCAGUCCCCCCAGAAAAUGCCUUCACAGUUUUCCCUCUGCAGGUGGGGACUGGGGGCUUGAACCAGGUCGUUGUGCAUUGUAACAUGUGUACUCAACCAGGCACACUACCACCUGGCCUUACAUCUUUAUUUUUAAAGGGAUUGGUGUUAAAAGCAUGUUUACAAAUUACUGAAAAAUUGGUAAGCAUUAUUCUUCCACAGUGUGGAGCAAAUAAAACCAGUGUGUCUGCUAGAUUUCUGUAGACACAGAACUUGGGACCUAUAUAUAUAUUUUAAUUUAUUUAUUUUCCUUUUUUGUUCCCUUUUGUGCCUUUGUUGUUUUUGUAGUUAUUAUUGUUGUUGUUAUUGAUGUCAUCGUUGUUGGAUAGGACAGAGAGAAAUGGAGAGAGGAGGGGAAGAUAGACAGGGGCAGAGAGACAGACACCUGCAGACCUGCUUCACCGCUAGUGAAGAAGCGAUUCCCCUGCAGGUGAGGAGCUGGGGGCUCAAACCAGGAUUCUUAAGCUGGUCCUUGCGCUUCGUGCCACCUGCGCUUAACCUGCUGCGCUACCACCCAACUCCCAUUGGGGACCUAUUUAAAGUGCACCAUCUGGAAGUUUAUCUCAGUUAAGCCUUAUCCUGAUGACUGGAUUCAAACUGCCCUUGGGUCUGAAUCCCUGAGUAAGUUCUCAUCUCCCCAGCACACUCCACCUGCCAGUGACCUUCCUGUGACUUCUGCCCUGACUCUGCCUUCAGAAGUGUGUCCUCACAGCUAUAGAUUCACUCGGACAGUAUGCUGCUUUGCCCUUCCCCAGGUUGAUGAUGAUGAUGAUGAUGAUGAUGAUUGUUCUUGUUGUUUUACAAAGUGUUUCACAAGUUAACAGGGGAACAAGUCCCAGGUUUAAGCCUGGCUUCUACCGCAUUGAAGGAAGAUUCGGUGCUAUAGUUUUCUUCACUCUUUCUCUGCCUUUAUCUGAAAAAAAAAAGUUAAGAAUUUCUACCACAGCCGAUUCCUGACAAGGAACCUUUCUUUCCCUCUCACAGAGGAAAGGCCUGCAUGCAUGUGCCUAUGUACACUAGUGGGCGUCAGUGUUGUGUGUACUUACUAUGCAAAGAUCAGACAUCCAGGCAGUUCACAGCUCUCCAAAUAGACUUGCCCCGGACUUCCAGCAUAAUUCUUGGGUUCCCUGGUCUCCAGCAGUGAUCUGCCUCAGGCUAGAAGCUAGCUAGUUAACACAAAUUAUAAAGUACAGACAACACUCGCUUACACGUGCUCUCUGCCAGCUAAUCAUUGUGAUGAAAGAUGAAUAGUUGUGGAUGCUACUAGUUAAUGGAAUGCAAUUAGAAUCUAUGUAGCAUAUUUAAAUUGAUAAGAAAUUGGUUUGAACAAACAGAAAGUUUGAGAGGCAAUUAUAAUGGCCACCCAAAUUGGAUUUUAAUAUAUUUAAUUUUUUUAAAAUUAUCUUUAUUUAUUGGAUAGAGACAGCCAGAAAUCAGGAGGGAAGGGGGUGAUAGAAAGGGAGAGAGACAGAGAGACACCUGCAGCCUUGUCUCACCACUCAUGAAGCUUUCCCCCUGCAGGUGGGGACUGGAGGCUUGAACCUGGGUCCUUGUGCAUUAUAAUAAUACGUGCACUCAACCAGGUACGCCACCACCCGGCCCCUGGAUUUUUAAUAUUUUGUUACACUUGUCUUAGUGUUUGUUCUAAAGAAAUGAGACCACGCAGAAGUUGAAAAACAAGAUCAGAAGAGAAAACACAAGUAGAACCUGAACUGGAAUUGGUGUAUUGCACUAAAAUAAAGGACUCUGGGGUGGGUGGGGGGGGAGGGGAGAAUAUAGGUCCAAGAAGGAUGACAGAGGACCUAGUGGGGGUUGUACUGUUAUGUGGAAAACUAAGAAAUAUUACACAUGUACAAACUAUUGUAUUUACUGUCGAAUGUGAAACAUAAUUCCCCAAUAAAGAAAUUAAAAAAAAAAGAAAUGAGACACUCUAGGAACAGUUCUGCGCCCAUCCCUUGUCUGUCU
Molecule: RNA transcript, 3023 nt
Organism: Erinaceus europaeus (western European hedgehog)
Lineage: Eukaryota; Metazoa; Chordata; Mammalia; Eulipotyphla; Erinaceidae
Gene name: UL16-binding protein 1-like
Exons: 5
Source: RefSeq, a predicted model, not a curated record